Non-coding RNA from Paramuricea clavata, 2500 nucleotides. NCBI's taxonomy places the organism in Eukaryota, Metazoa, Cnidaria, Anthozoa, Malacalcyonacea, Plexauridae. The record is from the annotation of a GenBank genome assembly.
UUAUAACAUACAGUGAUGACUACGUAAUACUAUAAUUAUAUAAUCUAGGACAAUCAAUCAAAUUGUUUUUAAACGAAACGACAGCCGAAUGUUAUAAAGUCAAUUUUAGGCUGUAUGAAAAUUUGCGAUGACAUUUUAUAAGAAAGGCUGGAGAAUGGAUGAAAUGGACUUAAGACUUUGCUAUAAUUUUGUACCUUCCUUGCAUAUAUUCAACUAACAUAAACAUCACUAUACAGUUAUUGAGAUUUGAUUCACAAUGAAGCAGGAUGAUUUUAAUGUAUCGACAUAAGUCACAACGUACAUAAAGUUGAAGUCAAACGACAAUAUUAGGAGCUGGAAUGCAAUUGAUCAAACUUGUAGUCUAACGAAAUUAUCAGUAUGGUUGUAAAUUGCUAUAGUUGUUCAGCAUCAAUUACAUGGCAAACUUUCUUGGGAAAUUGAUGUAAUUUCUCCCAAUCAUAAACCGUGGAAUAUUUCAAUACAUCAAAAUCAUCCCAUAUCUCAACCCAACAAAGCUGAACCAUGUAAUCGUGCCCGAAAACGUAACCUAAUUAUGAAUUAACGUCUUAUGAUUGUCUCAAUGUCCAAUUUACACAUAUUUUCGUGUGGAAGGUAAAACAUCAGCAACUGCUUUGCAUCUUUGUUUGUUCAUGGCAGGAAGAUACUCCCAUGUAGAAUCUCCCAUUGUAAAACACUCCACUGAACUGAGAUGUUCAACUUUCUCAUUCAUACCUCCCAUCACGACAAUGGUAUUUCCAGUAAUAACUGCACAACAGUUAUAUCUCUUCUCCAACAUGGAUGGUAAGACUGUGAUCUUGCCUGUCUUGGAGUUGUACAUGAAAACAUAAUUCAGAACUUGAUGAUCCUCAUUAAGACCUCCAAGCACAACUACUUCAUCCCUCCAGCGAACUGUCGCCAUUCUCCUCAAGGCAGACGGUAAUUUUGGCAUCUCUUUACAUUCAUUCCUUUUUAGAUCAAACUCCAAUACACUGUCUGUAUUCUUAAAACCAGGGCCAUAACCUCCUAAAAUCAGCACUUUAUCUUCAAAUACCUCAGCGCCAUGAUAUGAUCGUGGUUCUAGCAUUCGACACAACUCUUUCAUAAUGCAAGGUGAAGUAAGUUGCAAUUCACUAAUCACUUUAGACCAUCCUUUGCCAUAAUUAAAUCCACCAAUGUCAAUGAGACUCUGCUGGUAAACAACAAUUUGAUGAUCAGCACAUUUAUAAGGCAGUUCCCCAAGAAAUUUCGUCCAUUUCAAAGGUAAUUCAUCGAGAUUCAAGGUCUCUAUUGCCUUACUAUCUGCUCCCCCGACAACAAAGAACUGAUCUUUAUAGAUAAAUGAUGAAGCUCUACCAUGGUUUGCAUUCAUUGGCGACACCUCAAACCAACCAUUUUUCUCCCAGGAAUAUAUUUCCGUACUUUUGCCAGGUCUAUUUGAACGCGUUCCAUAUCCACCUGCAAUCAAAAUAUCCUGUCUUGGUGUGUUCAACAUUCCCUCAGUCGGUGAUGGCAGUUUCUUCAGCAGUUCAAGCACAUUUAACUUCUCUAACAUUUGAAUCAUCAUGACUUUGACUUCGUCCACAUCUUUGUUCACUUUGGAAAGAUUGUCCUUCAUAUCUUUGACUUCUUUCUUAACUUCCCCGAUUUCCUUCUUCGUUUGUCCACUUGAUGCUUCCACUUUUUCGUUGAUUUCCUUCACUUUUUCGUUCGUCUCCUUAUUCAUUUCCUUCACUGCUUCCACUUUUUCAUUCAUUUCCUUCAUUGCUUCCACUUUUUCGUCCAACUUCUUUAUUCCCUUCACUGCUUGUUCCACUUUCCCAUCCAGUUCCAUUAAACUUCCUUUCAAUGUUCCGACAUCUUCCUGUAUCUGCCCACAGUCAUGACAUGUCACUUUUCUAUAAUCACAAACUUCAGUUUCAUGAUGGACCUUAUCUUGCUUGUUAAUCUCCAUACCACACUCUGUAUUUGAACACAACACAGGUGCAUAGCCACAAUUCACCACGUGAGUUUUGAGAUCUUCAAGACAGGUAAACUCAGGACAUCCCCGACUGGCAUGAUCACAAUUUAUCUUUAGUUUAGACAAAUAAUUGCUCAACACACGCGGCCGACGAAGCGUAUCGACACUCAAAUGUUCAUUACAUUCAGGACAAGUUUGAGAGUUCACCUUUAGAUGUUGAGUGAUGCAGGCGAGACAAAAGAUGUGAUCAUUAUUCCUACACGUCCUUGGUUCUUUAAGAACAUUGUAGCAGAUAGAACAAUGAAAAUUUUCGUCGACAUCUUUCUCAAAUCGACAGUCUUCGUAGCCAUAUUUCUCUUCGGUCGGGCAGCAAGCCAUGCUUCAUAGCUCAUAGAAACAUUGCGCCACUUUCUAGUUAAAGAUUCGAUACCAAUGAUCUUUCUUUGUCACAUUUAUCUCACAUUGUAAAGCAAAUAAAUCGAGAGCAAGAAACAGACGAGGUUUUGAAAACUACCGCCUUCGCUUUGGUUUGAUUUUGCAAUA